RNAcentral lists this ribosomal RNA (426 nucleotides) under uncultured prokaryote. RNAcentral describes it as "bacterial SSU rRNA". It matches the Rfam family "Bacterial small subunit ribosomal RNA", at positions 355 to 796 of the family's 1533-position model. The record is from RNAcentral.
UGGGGAAUUUUCCGCAAUGGGCGCAAGCCUGACGGAGCAACGCCGCGUGAGGGAGGAAGGCCUGUGGGUCGUAAACCUCUUUUCUCAGGGAAGAAUUUUUGACGGUACCAGAGGAAUCAGCAUCGGCUAACUCCGUGCCAGCAGCCGCGGUAAGACGGAGGAUGCAAGCGUUAUCCGGAAUUAUUGGGCGUAAAGCGUCCGUAGGCGGUUUACCAAGUCAGUUGUUAAAGACUGCAGCUCAACUGUGGGCGAGCAACUGAAACUGAUGAACUAGAGUGCGGUAGGGGUAGAGGGAAUUCCCAGUGUAGCGGUGAAAUGCGUAGAUAUUGGGAAGAACACCAGUGGCGAAGGCGCUCUACUGGGCCGCAACUGACGCUGAGGGACGAAAGCUAGGGGAGCGAAAGGGAUUAGAUACCCCCGUAGUCC